Molecule: unclassified non-coding RNA, 232 nt
Filed under: plant metagenome
Description: partial contains small subunit ribosomal RNA, internal transcribed spacer 1, and 5.8S ribosomal RNA
Source: RNAcentral
UUUCCGUAGGUGAACCUGCGGAAGGAUCAUUAAUGAUAUAAGGCCACAGGGCAAUCUUUCCGAAAGGAUCGAGCUUGCUGUGUGAACCCUACCAACGCUUGCUUUUUGCGUACCCAUUGUUUCCACGGCAGGCUUGCCUGCCAGUAGCACCCUCUUAAACCCUUUGUAAUUGCAGUCAGCGUCAGAAACAACGUAAUCGUUACAACUUUCAACAACGGAUCUCUUGGCUCUC